Mycena rebaudengoi is the source of this 95-nucleotide non-coding RNA. NCBI's taxonomy places the organism in Eukaryota, Fungi, Basidiomycota, Agaricomycetes, Agaricales, Mycenaceae. The record is from the annotation of a GenBank genome assembly.
UCAGAUGUGGUGUAGGGUGCACAUCAGCUCCUUGUAGAUACUGUUUGUCAAUAAGUUUAGAGCCGGAAGCCGGGGUUCGACUCCCCGCAUCUGAA